GAUUGAAGCGGCUGGAAGGGUCGAGAAUGGCCCCCCUCUGCCUCCCAUUUAUGGCUCUUUCCUCGAAGGUCAACCAAAAAGCGACCCAUCCAUGUUGGCUGACCUUCCUUCAGACAUCCUCUCAAUCCCAUCAAAGCCCCCAUGGGUCUACUGAUAGCUGUUAAGCAACAGUUGGCCAUGACAUGAUGGCAAAACCAUCCUUUAGAAGCUCCCGCCUCUGCUUAUAAGAGAAGGC
RNAcentral lists this long non-coding RNA (235 nucleotides) under Elaeis guineensis (African oil palm). Its description in RNAcentral is "long non-coding RNA (EGUI_LNC012204)". The record is from RNAcentral. Lineage: Eukaryota; Viridiplantae; Streptophyta; Magnoliopsida; Arecales; Arecaceae.